This 702-nucleotide ribosomal RNA is filed under the name Fusarium oxysporum. RNAcentral's name for it is "SSU rRNA". It matches the Rfam family "Bacterial small subunit ribosomal RNA", at positions 297 to 969 of the family's 1533-position model. Lineage: Eukaryota; Fungi; Ascomycota; Sordariomycetes; Hypocreales; Nectriaceae. The record is from RNAcentral.
AGGCUGAACUGGCACUUGGAGAAGUGGCAAGUCUUCCAGUAUGGGGAGCAAAACAGCUAUGGGUCAAGUCCGAUAUCUUUAGGAGAAGUCUUAUUGUGAGGGCGAGUUAUAUAACACCAUAGGACUGGCCGUCCCAUAUGAAAAGAUUAUAUUAGAAUUGAAUGAAGCUUUGUUUAUAUAUUGAUAAUGACAGUAUAUAUAUCGUGUCUUGACUAAUUGCGUGCCAGCAGUCGCGGUAAUACGUAAGAGACUAGUGUUAUUCAUCUUAAUUAGGUUUAAAGGGUACCCAGACGGUCAAUAUAGCUUAUAAAAUGUUAGUACUUGACUAGAGUUUUAUGUAAGAGGGCAGUACUUGAGGAGGAGAGAUGAAAUUUCGUGAUACCAAAGGGACUCUGUAAAGGCGAAGGCAGCCCUCUAUGUAAAAACUGACGUUGAAGGACGAAGGCACAGAGAACAAACAGGAUUAGAUACCCAAGUAGUCUUUGCAGUAAAUGAUGAAUGCCAUAGGUUAGAUUGAUCAAUUAUAGUCUAGGGUUAGUCUAGCAAACUAAUGCCCUAUGAUAUAAUUCAAAAUAUCUGGUCUAUAAAUGAAAGUGUAAGCAUUUCACCUCAAGAGUAAUGUGGCAACGCAGGAACUGAAAUCACUAGACCGUUUCUGACACCAGUAGUGAAGUAUGUUAUUUACGAAAAAACCCCAAAAAA